This 469-nucleotide ribosomal RNA is filed under the name uncultured bacterium. Its description in RNAcentral is "partial 16S ribosomal RNA". It matches the Rfam family "Bacterial small subunit ribosomal RNA", at positions 29 to 507 of the family's 1533-position model. The record is from RNAcentral.
ACGAACGCUGGCGGCGUGCUUAACACAUGCAAGUCGAACGGUGAACGAGGGAGCUUGCUCCCUCCGUAUCAGUGGCGAACGGGUGAGUAACCCGUGAGCAAUCUGCCCCGAACUCUGGGAUAAGCGUUGGAAACGACGUCUAAUACCGGAUACGACUCGGGCGGGCAUCCUCUCCGCGUGGAAAGAACUUCGGUUCGGGAUGAGCUCGCGGCCUAUCAGCUUGUUGGUGAGGUAACGGCUCACCAAGGCGACGACGGGUAGCCGGCCUGAGAGGGUGACCGGCCACACUGGGACUGAGACACGGCCCAGACUCCUACGGGAGGCAGCAGUGGGGAAUAUUGCACAAUGGGCGCAAGCCUGAUGCAGCAACGCCGCGUGAGGGACGACGGCCUUCGGGUUGUAAACCUCUUUUAGCAGGGAAGAAGCGAAAGUGACGGUACCUGCAGAAAAAGCACCGGCUAACUACGUG